GAAACAUUAUUGGCAACCCAAAAGGGAUAACCAAUUAAGCCUCUGUUACAGACCUCGAAAGGCAUCUACUACAAAACCAAAAGCCACACCCUACAAAUUAAAACAGCUUAGCUAAAACCUUGCUAUAACAUAUUCAUUAGCAACAUUCUUACAAGUAUACACAAAAAACCUGCAGCACUUAAAGCCAUAAAUACUAGCUAGUUUAUUCAGCUCCUGGUCCUGAACUUGGACUCAUCAAUGGGGAUACCCUCUCUCUCUGCUCGUUCACCACCAGACUCAUCGGUGGUGCUCAGCCCACCCUUUCGACCCAUCUCCUGAUACCCUUCUGUCCCCAGCUGCUCCUUCCUCGUCUGCCCUCCUCGGCUUCUCCCUGUUAGCCAAAACAAUGUUAAAACAGAGCCCAUUAACAGUAUCAGCAGAGUCACAGAGUUGAAAAAGUUUCACCUUCGGCGAGGUGUUCUUGAGCUUCAAGGCUUUUGCCCCCCGUGCCUCCAGGAACUACAGUCUCACCUUGCCUUGCUUUCGCAUCAAGUUCAUCUCUUGAUGGCUGCUGGUGUGAAGACAUCUUUCCUCUUAAAUCAACCAAAACCAAGAUUGCUUUCUUGCUUUUGAAC
This 614-nucleotide unclassified non-coding RNA is filed under the name Hevea brasiliensis (rubber tree). The record is from RNAcentral. Lineage: Eukaryota; Viridiplantae; Streptophyta; Magnoliopsida; Malpighiales; Euphorbiaceae.